Molecule: ribosomal RNA, 429 nt
Filed under: uncultured bacterium
Lineage: Bacteria
Description: bacterial SSU rRNA
Rfam family: Bacterial small subunit ribosomal RNA
Source: RNAcentral
UUAGGAAUAUUCGUCAAUGGAGGAAACUCUGAACGAGCAAUGCCGCGUGAGCGAUGAAGGCCCUAUGGGUCGUAAAGCUCUGUUGUAAAGGAAGAAUACUUGAUAUAGGAAAUGAUAUCAAGCUGACGGUACUUUACCAGAAAGCCCCGGCUAACUACGUGCCAGCAGCCGCGGUAAUACGUAGGGGGCGAGCGUUAUCCGGAUUUAUUGGGCGUAAAGCGUGUGUAGGCGGUUUGUUAAGUAUAAGAUAAAAGCCCGGGGCUCAACUCCGGUUCGUCUUAUAAACUGGCAGACUUGAGUGUGGUAGAGGCAAGUGGAAUUUCUAGUGUAGCGGUUAAAUGCGUAGAUAUUAGAAGGAACACCAGUGGCGAAGGCGGCUUGCUGGGCCAUUACUGACGCUGAGACACGAAAGCGUGGGGAGCAAAUAGG